GCUUACGGCCAUACCACCCUGAACACGCCCGAUCUCGUCUGAUCUCGGAAGCUAAGCAGGGUCGGGCCUGUUCAGUACUUGGAUGGGAGACCGCCUGGGAAUACCAGGUGCUGUAAGCU
Molecule: ribosomal RNA, 119 nt
Filed under: Oreochromis niloticus (Nile tilapia)
Lineage: Eukaryota; Metazoa; Chordata; Actinopteri; Cichliformes; Cichlidae
Source: RNAcentral